ACGGGGGGCCCCGCAACAGGCGGCGGAGCAUGCGGAUUAAUUCGAUGCAACGCGAAGAACCUUACCAAGGCUUGACAUACACCGGUAACGCCCAGAGAUGGGUGCCCCUUUGUGGUCGGUGUACAGGUGGUGCAUGGUUGUCGUCAGCUCGUGUCGUGAGAUGUUGGGUUAAGUCCCGCAACGAGCGCAACCCUCGUCCUAUGUUGCCAGCGGGUCAUGCCGGGGACUCAUGGGAGACUGCCGGGGUCAACUCGGAGGAAGGUGGGGAUGACGUCAAAUCAUCAUGCCCCUUAUGUCUUGGGCUUCACGCAUGCUACAAUGGCCGGUACAAAGGGCUGCGAUACCGCGAGGUGGAGCGAAUCCCAGAAAGCCGGUCUCAGUUCGGAUUGGGGUCUGCAACUCGACCCCAUGAAGUCGGAGUCGCUAGUAAUCGCAGAUCAGCAACGCUGCGGUGAAUACGUUCCCGGGCCUU
RNAcentral lists this ribosomal RNA (472 nucleotides) under uncultured Curtobacterium sp. RNAcentral describes it as "bacterial SSU rRNA". It matches the Rfam family "Bacterial small subunit ribosomal RNA", at positions 915 to 1382 of the family's 1533-position model. Lineage: Bacteria; Bacillati; Actinomycetota; Actinomycetes; Micrococcales; Microbacteriaceae. The record is from RNAcentral.